RNAcentral lists this ribosomal RNA (440 nucleotides) under uncultured bacterium. RNAcentral's name for it is "partial 16S ribosomal RNA". It matches the Rfam family "Bacterial small subunit ribosomal RNA", at positions 338 to 795 of the family's 1533-position model. The record is from RNAcentral.
CCUACGGGUGGCAGCAGUGGGGAAUAUUGCACAAUGGGGGAAACCCUGAAGCAGCAACGCCGCGUGGAGGAUGAAGGAAUUAGGAUUGUAAACUUCUAUUAUCAGAGAAGAAAAUGACGGUAUCUAAGUAAGAAGCACCGGCUAACUACGUGCCAGCAGCCGCGGUAAUACGGAGGGUGCAAGCGUUACCCGGAUUUACUGGGCGUAAAGGGAGCGUAGACGGGAGUGCAAGUCUGGUGUGAAAGGCUGGGGCUCAACUCCAGAACUGCUAUGGAAACUGUAAGGCUGGAGUGCGGGAGAGGUAAGUGGAAUUCGUGGUGUAGCGGUGAAAUGCGUAGAGAUUAGGAGGAACACUCGUGGCGAAGGCGACUUACUGGACCGUAACUGACGCUGAUGCACGAAAGCGUGGGGAGCAAACAGGAUUAGAUACCCUUGUAGUC